GCCUGACGGAGCAAGACCGCGUGGGGGAAGAAGGCUCUUGGGUUGUAAACCCCUUUUCUCUGGGAAGAACACAAUGACGGUACCAGAGGAAUCAGCAUCGGCUAACUCCGUGCCAGCAGCCGCGGUAAGACGGAGGAUGCAAGCGUUAUCCGGAAUGAUUGGGCGUAAAGCGUCCGCAGGUGGCAGUUCAAGUCUGCUGUCAAAGACCGGGGCUUAACCUCGGAAAGGCAGUGGAAACUGAACAGCUAGAGUAUGGUAGGGGCAAAGGGAAUUCCUGGUGUAGCGGUGAAAUGCGUAGAGAUCAGGAAGAACAUCGGUGGCGAAGGCGCUUUGCUGGACCAUAACUGACACUCAGGGACGAAAGCUAGGGGAGCGAAUGGGAUUAGAUACCCCAGUAGUCCUAGCCGUAAACGAUGGAUACUAGGUGUUGUCUGUAUCGACCCGGACAGUGCCGUAGCUAACGCGUUAAGUAUCCCGCCUGGGGAGUACGCACGCAAGUGUGAAACUCAAAGGAAUUGACGGGGGCCCGCACAAGCGGUGGAGUAUGUGGUUUAAUUCGAUGCAACGCGAAGAACCUUACCAGGACUUGACAUGUCGCGAAUCUUCUUGAAAGAGAAGAGUGCCUUCGGGAGC
RNAcentral lists this ribosomal RNA (633 nucleotides) under uncultured bacterium. RNAcentral describes it as "bacterial SSU rRNA". It matches the Rfam family "Bacterial small subunit ribosomal RNA", at positions 381 to 1027 of the family's 1533-position model. The record is from RNAcentral.